This 867-nucleotide ribosomal RNA is filed under the name uncultured Mycoplasma sp. RNAcentral's name for it is "bacterial SSU rRNA". It matches the Rfam family "Bacterial small subunit ribosomal RNA", at positions 384 to 1294 of the family's 1533-position model. Lineage: Bacteria; Bacillati; Mycoplasmatota; Mollicutes; Mycoplasmatales; Mycoplasmataceae. The record is from RNAcentral.
UGAUGGAGCUAUGCCAUGUGAAUGAUGAAGAUCUUUUUGAUUGUAAAGUUCUUUUAUUGGGGAAAAUGAUGAUGGUACCCGAUGAAUAAGUGACAGCAAACUAUGUGCCAGCAGCUGCGGUAAUACAUAGGUCGCUAGCGUUAUUCGGAUUUAUUGGGCGUAAAGCAAGCGCAGGCGGACGAGUAAGUUCUGUGUUAAAAGCAGCAGCUCAACUGUUGUUUGCGCCGAAUACUGCUCGUCUAGAAUACGGUAGAAAGUUUCGGAAUUGAAUAUGGAGCGGUGGAAUGUGUAGAUAUAUUCAAGAACACCAGAGGCGAAGGCGGAAACUUAGGCCGCUAUUGACGCUUAGGCUUGAAAGUGUGGGGAGCAAAUGGGAUUAGAUACCCCAGUAGUCCACACCGUAAACGAUGGAUAUUAGAUGUUGGGACUUGAGUCUCAGCGUUGUAGCUUACGUGUUAAAUAUCCCGCCUGAGUAGUACAUAUGCAAAUAUGAAACUCAAAGGAAUUGACGGGGACCUGAACAAGUGGUGGAACAUGUUGCUUAAUUCGACAAUACACGAAAAACCUUACCAAGAUUUGACAUCCCUUGCUAAACCCUAGAAAUAGGGUGGAAGUUAUCAAGGUGACAGGUGGUGCAUGGCUGUCGUCAGCUCGUGUCAUGAGAUGUUUGGUUAAGUCCCGCAACGAGCGUAACCCUACUCUUUAGUUAGCUUUUUAGAGAGACUGCACAGUAAUGUAGAGGAAGGAUGGGAUCACGUCAAGUCAUCAUGCCCCUUAUAUCUUGGGCCGCAAACGUGUUACAAUGGCGAGUACAGCGUGUCGCAAACCAGCGAUGGUAAGCCAAUCACUAAAAGCUCGUCUCAGUCC